This 482-nucleotide ribosomal RNA is filed under the name uncultured bacterium. RNAcentral's name for it is "partial 16S ribosomal RNA". It matches the Rfam family "Bacterial small subunit ribosomal RNA", at positions 30 to 507 of the family's 1533-position model. The record is from RNAcentral.
AUUGAACGCUGGCGGCAUGCUUUACACAUGCAAGUCGAACGGUAACAGGCCGCAAGGUGCUGACGAGUGGCGAACGGGUGAGUAACGCAUCGGAACGUGCCCAGUCGUGGGGGAUAACUACUCGAAAGAGUAGCUAAUACCUCAUACGAUCUAUGGAUGAAAGCGGGGGACCGUAAGGCCUCGCGCGAUUGGAGCGGCCGAUGUCAGAUUAGGUAGUUGGUGGGGUAAAGGCUCACCAAGCCAACGAUCUGUAGCUGGUCUGAGAGGACGACCAGCCACACUGGGACUGAGACACGGCCCAGACUCCUACGGGAGGCAGCAGUGGGGAAUUUUGGACAAUGGGCGCAAGCCUGAUCCAGCAAUGCCGCGUGCAGGAAGAAGGCCUUCGGGUUGUAAACUGCUUUUGUACGGAACGAAACGGCUCUGGUUAAUACCCGGGGCUAAUGACGGUACCGUAAGAAUAAGCACCGGCUAACUACGUG